UCCAGUGUGGCUCAGUUGGUAGUGCAUGGCGCUUACACCGCCAGGGUUUUGGGUUCAAUUCCUACGGAGGAC
This 72-nucleotide transfer RNA is filed under the name Salmo salar (Atlantic salmon). It matches the Rfam family "tRNA". From Rfam's summary of the family: Transfer RNA (tRNA) molecules are approximately 80 nucleotides in length. Their secondary structure includes four short double-helical elements and three loops (D, anti-codon, and T loops). Further hydrogen bonds mediate the characteristic L-shaped molecular structure. tRNAs have two regions of fundamental functional importance: the anti-codon, which is responsible for specific mRNA codon recognition, and the 3' end, to which the tRNAs corresponding amino acid is attached (by aminoacyl-tRNA synthetases). tRNAs cope with the degeneracy of the genetic code in two manners: having more than one tRNA (with a specific anti-codon) for a particular amino acid; and 'wobble' base-pairing, i.e. permitting non-standard base-pairing at the 3rd anti-codon position. The record is from Rfam by way of RNAcentral. Lineage: Eukaryota; Metazoa; Chordata; Actinopteri; Salmoniformes; Salmonidae.